CGUCUAUAUACGUAUAGCAUAUCAAUAAGCGGAGGAAAAGAGACUAACAAGGAUUCCCUUAGUAACGGCGAGUGAAGCGGGAAGAUGCUCAAAUUUGAAAUCUUCAAGGUUCUACCUUGACGAAUUGUAGUUUAUAGAAGUGUUUUCUGUUAGUGAAGUUGGCUAAAAGUUCUUUGGAAUAGGACAUCAUAGAGGGUGAGAAUCCCGUAUUUGAUCAUUCCUUCUAGCUGUUGUGAUACACUUUCAACGAGUCGGAUUGUUUAGGGAAUGCAGUCCAAAAUGGGUGGUAAAUUUCAUCUAAAGCUAAAUAUUGGCGAGAGACCGAUAGCGAACAAGUACCGUGAGGGAAAGAUGAAAAGAACUUUGAAAAGAGAGUUAAACAGUACGUGAAAUUGUCAAAAGGGAAGCGUUUGACACCAGUGUUGUUUUCUCGAAAAUCAAUUAAAAAGUGUUGGAUUUUGUAUUGUUAAGACCUUAUCAGCUUACUGUACUCUUUUCCUGCUCUUUUUAAUGCACUUUUCGUUUAACAAGUCAACAUCAAUUUCUUUUGUUGUAAAAGAGUCAUUGGAAGGUGGCUUUCCUUUCGGAUGAAAGUGUUUAUAGCCUUAUGCCUCUACAAUCGGAGAGAUUGAGGUCUGCAGCGUAGAUCCUUCGGGGUUAGAUACAUUUGUGCUAAGUUAUAGCUUUUCAUAGACAACUUGUUGACUAUGUUUAGUCAUUGUAGGCUUACUCGCUUACUGCUAUUUUACCUACGCUUAGGAUGUUGACUGAUAUGUAGUCGUA
This 783-nucleotide ribosomal RNA is filed under the name uncultured Neocallimastigales. Its description in RNAcentral is "partial large subunit ribosomal RNA". It matches the Rfam family "Eukaryotic large subunit ribosomal RNA", at positions 26 to 644 of the family's 3401-position model. The record is from RNAcentral. Lineage: Eukaryota; Fungi; Neocallimastigomycota; Neocallimastigomycetes; Neocallimastigales.